This 497-nucleotide ribosomal RNA is filed under the name uncultured bacterium. RNAcentral describes it as "partial 16S ribosomal RNA". It matches the Rfam family "Bacterial small subunit ribosomal RNA", at positions 28 to 507 of the family's 1533-position model. The record is from RNAcentral.
GACGAACGCUGGCGGCGUGCCUAAUACAUGCAAGUUGAGCGCUGAAGGUUGGUACUUGUCCCAACUGGCUGAGCAGCGCACGGGUGAGUAACGCGUGGGGAAUCUGCCUUUGAGCGGGGGACAACAUUUGGAAACGAAUGCUAAUACCGCAUAAAAACUUUAAACACAAGUUUUAAGUUUGAAAGAUGCAAUUGCAUCACUCAAAGAUGAUCCCGCGUUGUAUUAGCUAGUUGGUGAGGUAAAGGCUCACCAAGGCGAUGAUACAUAGCCGACCUGAGAGGGUGAUCGGCCACAUUGGGACUGAGACACGGCCCAAACGCCUACGGGAGGCAGCAGUAGGGAAUCUUCGGGAAUGGACGAAAGUCUGACCGAGAAACGCCGCGGGAGUGAAGAAGGAUGUCGGAUCGUAAAACUCGGUUGGUAGGGAAGAACGUUGGUGAGAGUGGAAAGCUCAUAAAGUGACGGUAACUACUCAGAAAGGGACGGCUAACUACGUG